GGGGCUGUAGUCUAGCUUGGUAGGACUUACGCUUGGGGUGUUUAACCUAAAAUGCGUACAACCUGAGUUCAAAUCUCAGCAGUCCCA
This 87-nucleotide transfer RNA is filed under the name uncultured archaeon. Its description in RNAcentral is "tRNA-Pro". It matches the Rfam family "tRNA". From Rfam's summary of the family: Transfer RNA (tRNA) molecules are approximately 80 nucleotides in length. The record is from RNAcentral.